CUGUUUGGCUGUCAGUGUGUGUGCAUUAAAAACCUGGGCAUUUUCCGGCUUUCCAGAGUCUUCAUUUCUCACUAACUUUUAGAGCCAAAGAUGCUGCGGGAUUCUACAGCUCAGCAGAGCAUGGGGGCAGGGCAUGCCAGGCGAGUGACCUCAGUCCUAGUGUACUCUCUCUAACACUCAAGUGGAAGACGCCUGAUGGUGUUCUCUGCACUGCAGUUGUGGGCGACUGGAGCAGCUGCUGCUUGGAUAGCAAGACCCCAAACACCAAGUGAAGGGAAUGACUUGGACUAAUGUUUCACUGAGCAGGCCUGAGACUAUAAUCAACCUCUGAGGUUAAAUUACAAAGCACCCUUCACACCUCAAAUGACUGAGGCUUUUAUAUGACCCAGCAAUGAACAAGCACAGAGGGACAGGCAUCUCCCACACAAGGGGGACAUCACUAAUCUGGGAGUUAUGUGGACACAAUCUGCUAUGGGUCAGACGCUUCCCUCUGAAGUCAUGUAAGGAGCGGUUCCAAGACACGAACAGCGACAACAAAUGUUACAGAUAAGCUCACAGAUGAGUCGGCCUGUGACGCCUGGGAGGCACAAGGACCCUGAACAGAGCGGUCAGCAGUGCCGAGACUGGCAAGGAGGUGACAGUGGUCUCAGCAAACGGAGAGGCUUGGUAUACUCUGAAUAAGUGUGGAGCAGUUGUGGCUGAAGGCCUUUGUGGGCUACAAUGGGAACUGGCAGGCCAACGUGGUCUGGAGGCCCGACACAGGGGGGAUGUGACUGCGUGACAGAGAGCAGUCGGCCAGCACCAUCACUUCUGCUAGGCCAACACAGAUGAUGUUGCUUCCACAGUGAAGAAAAAUGUCAUCGCCUGAGUCACACAGCCUCACCUUUGAUGUACUCCAGCCAAGACAGCCUCCACUUAGAGCACCUACAAGGGGGAGUGGGGCGCUGAGUAGCAGCUGGCUCGGCAGACUAUUUAUUAGUCAAGUGUCACGGCUUAAGGAAUUCCCAAACUGCAAGUAUUUGGCAAAAGGAUUCUGGCCCAAGAAAAACAAACAAAGCCUGCUGGAGGACUUUCAUUCUAAGGCCUCGAUUUGUUAAAAAUAUUUGAGGAUGGUGAUUAGCACAUCAUAAAAAUAAAGAGGCGCGCAGAAAGAAGACAUUAUGAGCUUGAUGUCACAACUGCUGGUGUUAGUUUUUCUGACAGAGGCUGGAAAACACCGGUGUUUGCUCUAUUUAAAGAAAAGAGUUUGACAGUACAUGCAAGAGGAUAGCAGAAUAUUUUCAAGUGUUUUAGGUCUCAGAAUAUGUAGCGCUCAUCAGACAUUCCCAUCUGACCAUGGUCCUUGAACCAUUCUCCUUGUCAAAGUCUUACGUAGCUCAACCCUGAAGCCUCCUGGAGGAAACUUAAGGCUUUAACCAUCCUCUGGUGGAAAGAGGCGGCUGUGCCAAUGGGAGCAGCUCCAAGUGAGGAGCCCUAGGUCACGGCUGGUCACAGGUGAGGGACUGAUCUGGCUGGCCAUGGUUAAAGGAGCAAGCCCUGCCUGGACACUGGUGAUGACCUGGAGUGACCCCUUCUAAAGGCUGGCAUUGUGAGACAAGCCAGAGAACCACGAGAAAAAGAAACGGCCGCUUCCUCACAGCUUUUAAGAUUUUCAGUUGUCUUACUGUAGUGCACUUGUGGUGUAUGGAGCGAGUAGACAUUUAUCCUCCAGAGCUCGGGAAUGAAAACUGUUAGCGCAGUAAAGCAAGCAGCACCCAAUCCAACCAGAAACCGAAUCAGGAGAAAACAAAAACAAAACCGAUCACCAAAGCAAGCAGCCCGCAGGGCUGGAGACUGCCUUGCUCCCCUGGCCACAAGCCACAAUUACCUUUUAAAGAUGGGAGUUUUUGUAGCUCUCUAUUAUUGCUGGCAUUAAACCGUGAAGAAUUC
This 1929-nucleotide long non-coding RNA is filed under the name Mus musculus (house mouse). RNAcentral's name for it is "predicted gene, 19605 (Gm19605)". The record is from RNAcentral. Lineage: Eukaryota; Metazoa; Chordata; Mammalia; Rodentia; Muridae.